This 1832-nucleotide long non-coding RNA is filed under the name Homo sapiens (human). RNAcentral describes it as "HSALNT0405732". The record is from RNAcentral. Lineage: Eukaryota; Metazoa; Chordata; Mammalia; Primates; Hominidae.
UCGGCCUCCCAAAGUGCUGGGAUUACAGGCGUGAGCGACCGCGCCCAGCCGAACUUCUGCCUCUUAAAUCCAGGGUUCUCCCUGUCAGUACAGUGAGGUGGUAACUAGCAAAAGCUAUGAGAUAUGACUGCCUGGGUACAUAUCCCAGCUCUUUCACUUAUCUUUGUGGCUUUACGCAAAUUACUUAACCUCUUUAUGAUUGUUUCUUCAUUUGUAAAAGGAAGAUAAUAACAGUGCCUAUAUAUAGGGUUUUUAUGAAGAAUAAAUGAGAUAGUAUAUAUAAAGCACUUAGAACAGUAUCUGGCACAUACUAGGUGCUCAAUAAAUGUUAGCGAUGACAUUUAUUACUGUCCCACAUUGAGCUGGUGUUUGUUAAACACUGGAUGACUGGAUAAAAUGUACAUCUUUCAUGCAGAGAUUGCUCGAUUAUCCAUUUCACUGAUUCAGGAUCAGAGUCUCUUAAGAAUCCAGAGAGGGGAUGUUGAAGCCCUAAGAAGUAAAAACACUAAAAUGAUAACAUUUUGACCUUUUGAAAACUCUUUGAAGUGGCAAUGGCCACAAAAUUGAGCGGAAACCAAACAUAUUCAGCCCCAUUUCCAGAUAAAUUGGAUUUGCUAAACCACUCAGAAUAACAAGAGCAAGAAUUAGAUGUUCAGCUAAGCUCUAGCUUCUGAUCCUAGAUGGUGGCAAUAACAACGAUAGUAUUAAUGAUAAUAGCAGAAACUCUUAAUAUGUGUGAGGCAUUCUUCUAAAUGCUUUACAUAUAUUAAUUUAAUGUUCAUCGGAGCAGAUUCUCCUACUGUAUCCAAGAGAUCAGAAAUUCAGAGCAAAAAGCAGAUUGCUGCCUGAUAGCAGAUCCACUCUAGGAAUGGGGAGAUUUUCUCAUAAAUCUAAUGACUGGUGAAAGUGACAAGAGGUUAGUCCACUCAGUGUUGGAAAGGACAAGAUCCUAGAAAGUGGAAAUGCUCCACUAUUGCUUUAGGGGGAACAGCCUGGCUACAACUGGGCAGACUUUCUAUUACUAACAUCAGGAUAAUAGGGAAGCUCCUGCCAAUGCUGCAUAGAACUAAGAACACUUAGCAGUGAUGGCUGACUUCCAACUGAGCCAUUAAGGUAAGUGUAGAAGAAAGCUCCAGGUAGAAAUAUCUUUGGGAACUCAGAGAACACACUGAGUGUUUGAAGCUGGUACUUAAUCUAUUAUUGAACUCAGAGUUUGCCAUUCUGGGGCCAAUUUGAGUCCACUUAUGACACCUCCCACAGCACUGCUCAUUUCUGUUAACUGGGCUUCACAGAGGGUGAGAAGGGCAGCAAUCAGAUCAUAUAAUUGGGCCUCAUUGUAAUAAAAUGUUGAUUUCUGUUGUCCUUGGACUUCCUUCCAGCCACAAUCACUCUAUGAUCUUGUCUGAGAUUCUUUUUCCUUUCUCUCUCCAUUUUGCUGACUGUAAUGGAAUAAUAGCAGAAGCUCUCAAUCUGUAUGAGGAAUAUAUAUGAAGAAUGUGUAACAUUCACUGUGUUUCCUAAUAGAUGAAUUAUCUAAAGGACACCUCUUAAGAAGAGAUGAGAUGGAGCCAACUGUCAGAAAAAAAAAUGGGUGAAGAAAGUUUCAAGGAGAAGACUCCACAGAGCAGAAUGGGAAAGAUGGCCAGGAGAAAAGUGAGAUAAUAAAAGGAAAAGCAGUCCCUGACACAGAAGGCAGUGCUGUUCCUGAUAAGACACAUGACACAAAAUAUGGUUUUGCUGAGUAUCAAGUUUACUGAGGCUGCCUGGGAACUUGAGCUGUCAGCCAAACAGGAAGAAGGGCCCUUCUGCCUACUCCAAAAGGCCUCAGUCAA